AAAAAGGCAAAGAACGGAAAGAGUAGAUUUUUGGAAUUUCCCAGAGAGAAGUUGCCAGAGGCUGAAAGCAACUUUGGAAGGAAGAGGAUUGAAGUGCCUCCGGGAGCCGACUGGAAGAAAUGAUAGUAUUUCGGUACGUUUUGCGCACGUUACGUGUUUUGAGUGAAAUGCAGCAGUGCAUUUACUUAGAGUGGAACCGCGGAUAACUUCGUCUCUAAA
RNAcentral lists this non-coding RNA (219 nucleotides) under Roseburia sp. RNAcentral describes it as "T-box sequence". It matches the Rfam family "T-box leader". From Rfam's summary of the family: Uncharged tRNA acts as the effector for transcription antitermination of genes in the T-box leader family. The record is from RNAcentral. Lineage: Bacteria; Bacillati; Bacillota; Clostridia; Lachnospirales; Lachnospiraceae.